This is a non-coding RNA of Picea glauca (white spruce), 121 nucleotides long. NCBI's taxonomy places the organism in Eukaryota, Viridiplantae, Streptophyta, Pinopsida, Pinales, Pinaceae. The record is from Rfam.
ACAUGCCUACAACAUAGUGUUAAUGCAUUGGAUCCCAUUAUAACUCUGUAGUUAAGUGCACUCAGGCUAGAGUAGUACUGGGUUGGGCGACCACCCGGGAAGUAAUAGUGUUUUACAUGCC